UAGUCAUAUGCUUGUCUCAAAGAUUAAGCCAUGCAUGUCUAAGAAUAAGCCCUUGAACGGUGAAUCUGCGAAUGGCUCAUUAAAUCAGUUAUUGUUUAUUUGAUGGUACCUUACUACUUGGAUAACCGUAGUAAUUCUAGAGCUAAUACAUGCGCCAAGCCCUGACUUCGGAAAGGGUGCAUUUAUUAGAUUCAAACCAUCGGCUCUUUUGGGUGUCAAAGCCCAAUUGUUUGGCCUUUGAUGGUGAGUCAUAAUAACUUAGCGAAUCGAAUGGCUUUUAUGCUGUCGAUGCUUCAUUCAAAUUUCUGCCCUAUCAGCUUUCGAUGGUAGGAUCUUGGCCUACCAUGGCUAUAACGGGUAACGGGGAAUUAGGGUUCGAUUCCGGAGAGGGAGCUUGAGAAACGGCUACCACAUCCAAGGAUGGCAGCAGGCGCGCAAAUUACCCAAUCCCGACACGGGGAGGUAGUGACAAUAAAUAACAAUGCUGGACUAUUUUUAGUCCGGCAAUUGGAAUGAGAGUGAAUUAAAUCUCCACUCGAGGAACCAUU
Molecule: ribosomal RNA, 548 nt
Filed under: uncultured eukaryote
Lineage: Eukaryota
Description: bacterial SSU rRNA
Rfam family: Eukaryotic small subunit ribosomal RNA
Source: RNAcentral